This 780-nucleotide long non-coding RNA is filed under the name Stegodyphus dumicola. Its description in RNAcentral is "uncharacterized LOC118204514, transcript variant X2". The record is from RNAcentral. Lineage: Eukaryota; Metazoa; Arthropoda; Arachnida; Araneae; Eresidae.
UUUUCAGUUGGCUGGCAAUCUUUUACCUAUAGAAUGCCGCCCAGGAGUCUUCAUUUCAACUUUCACUGGUCAAGUAAAUAUAAAAGAUAACAAAUUUGAUUUGAAGGUAAAUAAAUUUAGAGCUUACAAGAAGAUAAUGAAGUUACUUCUACCAAAGAAAAACAAAUCGUUACAGAAUACUGUUAUCCAGCAUCUUAUGCCUGUGAUUCCUUGGAUAUUCCACUUUUUAUUCAAAAAUUGAACAAAGCAGGAAUAACUGGUGCAAAAGUUGAAGAAAGACCAUCAGGAUUCAUUAUUGAUCUGCAAAAUCAUGAUAUCUUAAUUCAAGUUGAAGACCAUUCAACACAUGUUAUCUCUGGUGAUGAUUACCCAGUGCGUUCUAAACUUCAUGAUUUAAUACUGGAAUGUUUAAACAAAGUGUAAAAGCCUGAAAUCAUAGAAGACUGCAAGCAAAAUAUGAAUUGUGAUUUGUUUUAUGAUGAUGCUCAAGAAUGAGAAGAUUGCAGGAAUGUAAAGUGAAUCAAUAAAAGUAUUGACGGGAACAAUGCCGCAGGGUUGCAAGAGACUGAGCAAUAUCAAAGUGAAAAACUUCAAAUGACAUUCUACAGAAUUUUAGAAAUUACAUCAAAUACAACAAUAAUUAUGAUAAACUCUAUAAAACAACAUUUGUAAAAUACAUGUUCACAUAUUUGCAUUGUAAAUUUUCAUUAAAAGAGAAUUCUUUGUACAAAUAUUUCUAUAUAUGCAUGGGUAUAUAAUAAAGUGCAUUUUUAUGGUUGA